CGUUUCCUACGGGGGGCAGCAGUAGGGAAUUUUCGUCAAUGGGCGCAAGCCUGAACGAGCAAUGCCGCGUGAACGAGGAAGGUCUUCGGAUCGUAAAGUUCUGUUGACGGGGAAAAAAGACCGGGAAAGGAAAUGAUCCCGGAGGAGAUAUUACCCGUCGAGGAAGUCAGGGCUAACUACGUGCCAGCAGCCGCGGUAAUACGCAGGUGGCGGGCGUUAUCCGGAAUGAUUGGGCGUAAAGGGUGCGUAGGCGG
RNAcentral lists this ribosomal RNA (254 nucleotides) under uncultured bacterium. RNAcentral describes it as "partial 16S ribosomal RNA". It matches the Rfam family "Bacterial small subunit ribosomal RNA", at positions 333 to 578 of the family's 1533-position model. The record is from RNAcentral.